RNAcentral lists this ribosomal RNA (865 nucleotides) under Agaricus bitorquis. RNAcentral describes it as "LSU rRNA". It matches the Rfam family "Eukaryotic large subunit ribosomal RNA", at positions 108 to 962 of the family's 3401-position model. The record is from RNAcentral. Lineage: Eukaryota; Fungi; Basidiomycota; Agaricomycetes; Agaricales; Agaricaceae.
CUCAAUUUAAAUCUGGCGGUCUUUUGCCGUCCGAGUUGUAAUCUAGAGAAGUAAUGCCCGUGCUGGACCGUGUAUAAGUCUCCUGGGAUGGGGCGUCAUAGAGGGUGAGAAUCCCGUCUUUGACACGGACUACCAGUGCAUUGUGGUAUGCUCUCAAAGAGUCGAGUUGUUUGGGAAUGCAGCUCAAAAUGGGUGGUAAAUUCCAUCUAAAGCUAAAUAUUGGCGAGAGACCGAUAGCGAACAAGUACCGUGAGGGAAAGAUGAAAAGAACUUUGGAAAGAGAGUUAAACAGUACGUGAAAUUGCUGAAAGGGAAACGCUUGAAGUCAGUCGCGUUGGCCAGGGAUCAGCCUUGCUUUUGCAUGGUGUAUUUUCUGGUUAACGGGUCAGCAUCAAUUUUGACCACUGGAAAAGGGCCUGGGGAAUGUGGCAGCUUAGGCUGUGUUAUAGCCCCUGGUCGCAUACAGUGGUUGGGAUUGAGGAACUCAGCACGCCGCAAGGCCGGGUUUCGACCACGUUCGUGCUUAGGAUGCUGGCAUAAUGGCUUUAAGCGACCCGUCUUGAAACACGGACCAAGGAGUCUAACAUGCCUGCGAGUAUUUGGGUGGAAAACCCGAGUGCGCAAUGAAAGUGAAAGUUGAGAUCCCUGUCGUGGGGAGCAUCGACGCCCGGACCAGAACUUUUGGGACGGAUCCGCGGUGGAGCAUGUAUGUUGGGACCCGAAAGAUGGUGAACUAUGCCUGAAUAGGGUGAAGCCAGAGGAAACUCUGGUGGAGGCUCGUAGCGAUUCUGACGUGCAAAUCGAUCGUCAAAUUUGGGUAUAGGGGCGAAAGACUAAUCGAACCAUCUAGUAGCUGGUUCCUGCC